CCAGAAGAGGAGCGAUAACUAGGUAGAUAACGUUAUACCGUAAGGUAUUAGGAACCACAUUCCAAUAAACGUUAUUGAGGGAGUUUAUCGCCGAGAGUAUUACCAUUGUGGCUGUUAAUACUCGGUUACUAAGGCUGAAUCCUUAGGGCUGUCACCUGAUUAAAAAGCCUGUAAAGGUUAAGGUGGAGAGCUUCUGGC
Molecule: non-coding RNA, 198 nt
Filed under: uncultured Colwellia sp.
Lineage: Bacteria; Pseudomonadati; Pseudomonadota; Gammaproteobacteria; Alteromonadales; Colwelliaceae
Description: Lysine riboswitch
Rfam family: Lysine riboswitch aptamer
About the family: Riboswitches are metabolite binding domains within certain messenger RNAs that serve as precision sensors for their corresponding targets. Allosteric rearrangement of mRNA structure is mediated by ligand binding, and this results in modulation of gene expression.
Source: RNAcentral